This 73-nucleotide transfer RNA is filed under the name Apaloderma vittatum (bar-tailed trogon). It matches the Rfam family "tRNA". Rfam says of the family: Transfer RNA (tRNA) molecules are approximately 80 nucleotides in length. Their secondary structure includes four short double-helical elements and three loops (D, anti-codon, and T loops). Lineage: Eukaryota; Metazoa; Chordata; Aves; Trogoniformes; Trogonidae. The record is from Rfam by way of RNAcentral.
GGCCGGUUAGCUCAGUCGGUUGAGCAUGGUGCUGAUAACAGCAAGGUCGCGGGUUCGAUUCCUGUUCCGUCCC